GCAAUCUACCUUAGUUACAGGGAUAGCCCGAGGAAACUCGGAUUAAUACCUGAUAUUCUUUACUUCUCGCAUGAGAAUAAAAGGAAAGGUCAGCCGAACUAAGAUGAGCUCGCGUUCUAUCAGCUAGUUGGUGAGGUAAAAGCUUACCAAGGCUACGACGGAUAGCUGGUCUGAGAGGACGAUCAGCCACACUGGGACUGAGACACGGCCCAGACUCCUACGGGAGGCUGCAGCAGGGAAUAUUGUGCAAUGAACGAAAGUUUGACACAACGACACCGCGUGUGGGAUGACGGAUCUAGGUUUGUAAACCACUUUCAGGAGGGAAGAAAAUGACGGUACCUCCACAAGAAGCCCCGGCCAACUACGUGCCAGCAGCCGCGGUAAUACGUAGGGGGCGAGCGUUGUCCGGAUUUAUUGGGCGUAAAGAGCUCGUAGGCGGUUCAACAAGUCGGUCGUGAAAGUUCAGGGCUCAACCCUGAAAUGUCGAUCGAUACUGUUGUGACUAGGAUACGGUAGAGGUGAGUGGAAUUCCGAGUGUAGCGGUGAAAUGCGUAGAUAUUCGGAGGAACACCAAUUGCGAAGGCAGCUCACUGGGCCGCUAUCGACGCUGAGGAGCGAAAGCUAGGGGAGCAAACAGGAUUAGAUACCCUGGUAGUCCUAGCUGUAAACGAUGGAUACUAGAUGUAGGAACUGGAUUGACGGUUUCUGUAUCGCAGCUAACGCGUUAAUAUCCCGCCUGGGA
This 742-nucleotide ribosomal RNA is filed under the name uncultured Actinomycetes bacterium. RNAcentral's name for it is "bacterial SSU rRNA". It matches the Rfam family "Bacterial small subunit ribosomal RNA", at positions 121 to 878 of the family's 1533-position model. The record is from RNAcentral. Lineage: Bacteria; Bacillati; Actinomycetota; Actinomycetes.